CAGCACUUAACUCAAAUGCUUAAACUUGCUUUAGUUUAGGAUCCAAAAUUUUCCUCAGUGAGUACGACUAAGUGAAUCCUAGAUCUUGUAUUGUUACUAGUCCAAGUUUCAUUGUUUGGACUGUGAUGUAACAAGGCUUCAUUUUUUGGGUUUAAGGCAACUGAAAGGCUAUAGUGUUUGGUGGUGUGAGAGUUAGUGGGAUGUCAAAAAGAAUAAGUUGUUAUCUUUUGACACGGGCUCCCCCUUAAGAUCAAGUGGCUGAAUAAUGGCCCUGUUUCAACAAUCACAAAGAGUCUCUCACCAUUUUCUUAAAAUUUAUUAGCAACACGAACUCGAGAUUCUAAACAAGGACAAGUAUACGGGGGCAUACUAGACAAACACGUUUGCAAGAGUGGUCAUCCCCAUAAGAACAAUUUUCCUUUUCAACCUGUUAACUGCAUAGAAAACUUCAUCGUUGUAGAAUCCAUAAAGGACAAAAUUCGCAAGUUACUCCUUAAAAGGCACGUGUAGGUAAGUUAAAGGCCAAUCAAGUACUGCACUUUCCUAAAUCGACCGAUUCCAAAUGUUAGCAUCCCCACAUUGAUGUUGACCAAAUUGCUUAUUAAUUGAUCCACAAAACAAAAGUCCCCUAAAAGAUCUAGAUAAGAGAAGUGAUGUUAAAGAAGAUAUGCUUGUC
This 676-nucleotide long non-coding RNA is filed under the name Carica papaya (papaya). RNAcentral's name for it is "long non-coding RNA (CPAP_LNC002839)". The record is from RNAcentral. Lineage: Eukaryota; Viridiplantae; Streptophyta; Magnoliopsida; Brassicales; Caricaceae.